CCUACGGGAGGCCGCAGUGAGGAAUAUUGGUCAAUGGGCGGGAGCCUGAACCAGCCAAGUCGCGUGAAGGAAGAAGGUACUUAGUAUUGUAAACUGCUUUUGUCGGGGAACAAAGGCGGAGACGCGUCUCCGGAUGAGUGUACCCGAAGAAAAAGCAUCGGCUAACUCCGUGCCAGCAGCCGCGGUAAUACGGAGGAUGCGAGCGUUAUCCGGAUUUAUUGGGUUUAAAGGGUGCGCAGGCGGGAGAUCAAGUCAGCGGUAAAAGGUCGGGGCUCAACCCCGGCCGGCCGUGGAAACUGGUUUGAUAGAGUUGGAGAGAAGUAAGCGGAAUUCGUUGUGUAGCGGUGAAAUGCAUAGAUAUGACGAAGAACACCGAUUGCGAAGGCAGCAUACCGGC
Molecule: ribosomal RNA, 397 nt
Filed under: uncultured bacterium
Lineage: Bacteria
Description: partial 16S ribosomal RNA
Rfam family: Bacterial small subunit ribosomal RNA
Source: RNAcentral